Molecule: ribosomal RNA, 255 nt
Filed under: uncultured bacterium
Lineage: Bacteria
Description: partial 16S ribosomal RNA
Rfam family: Bacterial small subunit ribosomal RNA
Source: RNAcentral
UACGAAGGGGGGCUAGCGUUGCUCGGAAUUACUGGGCGUAAAGGGAGCGUAGGCGGAUAGUUUAGUCAGAGGUGAAAGCCCAGGGCUCAACCCUGGAAUUGCCUUUGAUACUGGCGGCCUUGAGUAUGGCAGAGGUGUGUGGAACUCCGAGUGUAGAGGUGAAAUUCGUAGAUAUUCGGAAGAACACCAGUGGCGAAGGCGACACACUGGGCCAUUACUGACGCUGAGGCGCGAAAGCGUGGGGGAGCAAACAGG